RNAcentral lists this long non-coding RNA (3097 nucleotides) under Mytilus galloprovincialis (Mediterranean mussel). The record is from RNAcentral. Lineage: Eukaryota; Metazoa; Mollusca; Bivalvia; Mytilida; Mytilidae.
UGCAAUGCUAAGAACAACAAUAAACAAUUUAAUGCCCACUAUAUAUGUUAAAUUGAUGUCAGUACUAAAUUUUAUUGAUAUCUAAAAACCAACAUGAAAAAUCAAGUUAAACUGUACUGUUUAAUUUUAAGCAUACCUGCAAACCUUCUUGUUCUGCAAAGUUUGUAAUCUGUUAUUUUUAUCUUUACUAAGGGGAGACAAUGUAUUUUCAUAUUGUUAAAAACACAAAAGAGUUGUCCUUUCUUUAUUUUUACUAUAUCAAUGUCCAUUCUUUAUUUUUACUAUAUCAGUAAGAAUAAUAGUUGCAAUAUUGUGAAAAUCAGACACAGGAAAUACAUACCUUGCCUAAUCCGACACACUGGGGGACCAGAAAAAAAGGUUGGAUUAAACAGGGUGUCGGACUACUCAGGCUUUUUCUGCAAGGACAGGCCUAUUUUAGGACCAUGAAAAUGUGUCGAUAAAGCAGGAUGUUGGAAUACUCAGGUGUCGGAUAGGCAAGUAACACUGUACUAGAAAAACAACUCAAAUGAUAAUAAGAAUGAAAGUAGGAUGAUUUUUUACAACAAAUGGGACAAUUUCAUCUUUUUUUCAGUAAUAAAAAAAGUCAUCUAUGUGGGCAGAUAUGUCUAAGCAAUCACAAACACUAUUCAAAAUAGGAACAUUUUUAUGCUUAUUUGGCCAUGUAAAUUAACCUGAAUAUGAAGUAAAAUGGCACAAAUUCUGAUCACAUUUGAUAGACCUUUAAGCCUACUCCUAAUAUAGAAUAAAAUAAUGGUUAAUUAAAACAAUGUCAAGUAUCAGAAGCAGAUAAAUAUCUUUAAUUGGAGAUUCUUUAAGUCAUGGAACUUUAUGCUUAUAUUCUUGUUAUGCACUCAUCAACAUGUGUUAUAGCUAGUAGAGGAAGAAGAUUUUUUUUUUGCCAAAUAUUAUAAUUUUUUUUGAUGGAAAGAGGCUCACCACUUGUUUACAUCUGCUUUUGCCUCUGUAAAUCACAAAGAAAAAAGUCACAUACAAACAUAUGAGCCAGUCCAUGCGAAAAGGUACAAAAACAAAAAAUUGACGAAAUUCUAAAUAGUGUGCAUAAUUAUUGGUAGUAGACUUGUGAUUAAUAAAACACAUUUACUCUCCCUCAUAUCAUCAAGCUGUGAGCUACACGCACCUGCGAGUGUUGAGACCCCCCCCCUUUAGUUUUAUCAAGAUUUUUAGUGAAUUAUUUCAUAUAUUUCAAUCAUUUUCAAAGUACAGUUUAAAUGGCUUGAUUUUCCACUUGAUAAUGUUAACCCCGGUAGCAGUGGGGAUAAGGCUCUCGCUUACGAUGCGGAUAUCAAUGCAAUCAAACCGGGCAACGGUUCGAAUCCCAUGCAACUAAGGUUGAUUUAUAUAAUAUUAAAUAACUUAACUUAACUUAACUUUCAAUUUCUAAAACACAAGAUGUCAUAGUUUUUGUAUUUUCCCUCAUGUUUUAAUGUUGUCUUACUUUCUUUAAACCUGUAGAACUGACGGAAAUUAUUGACUUUUGUCUCUGUAGUGUCAUAAAUUUUUAUAGUUUCUGGUCGGUAUAGCAUUAGACCGGGGAACAAAUGAUUUUACACUUGCUCAAAUACCAAAAAUUCAGAUAUUUCUACGUCUUUUUCGGUUUUAGUUGACAAAUUCGGGAUAGAAUUGACAAUCUUAUGAAUGUUUACAUUAAUGUAAUUUUUUUUCCGUUUUUCAAAAAUACUAUAACAAACUUUGAUAACGUGUCCUGUAAAGUUUACCAAAAGGACUUUUUGUACCUUUUCGCAUGGACUGGCUCAUAUCAUUGUCAAAAUCACAAAAAAACAAAAAAAUCGAAAUUGCCAAAAAGCAAUGAAAUAUCGAAAUACUUAUAAUACUUCAUAUCCAACGUUAUAAUUUAAUGUAAAUAUUGACAUAUAAUUAUCCCUAGCAACAAAAAUUGUCCCCUUAGCAACCAUACACCAUUCAGCAAAAAGUCCAUAUUCCAAAUAUUUAAGCAACGAUUUGAUGUUUCAAAUGGAUUCGGCAUCUAUCAAAACAUCUAGUUUGCAAAAAACACAUCUAAAAUAUGUUGAUUUUUAAAAAAGUUAGGGCGAAAUCACUCUUUAACUAUACAUAGGUUUUGCUUGGUACUUUCGCCAAUAUCACCUAUAUGAGCCAGUCCAUGCGAAAAGGUACAAAAACGAAAAAUUGACGAAAUUCUAAAUAGUGUGCAUAAUUAUUGGUAGUAGACUUGUGAUUUAUAAAACACAUUUACUCUCCCUCAUAUCAUCAAGCUGUGAGCUACACGCACCUGCAAGUGUUGAGACCCCCCCUUUAGUUUUAUCAAGAUUUUUAGUGAAUUAUUUCAUAUAUUUCAAUCAUUUUCAAAGUACAGUUUAAAUGGCUUGAUUUUCCACUUGAUAAUGUUAACCCCGGUAGCAGUGGGGAUAAGGCUCUCGCUUACGAUGCGGAUAUCAAUGCAAUCAAACCGGGCAACGGUUCGAAUCCCAUGCAACUAAGGUUGAUUUAUAUAAUAUUAAAUAACUUAACUUAACUUUCAAUUUCUAAAACACAAGAUGUCAUAGUUUUUGUAUUUUCCCUCAUGUUUUAAUGUUGUCUUACUUUCUUUAAACCUGUAGAACUGACGGAAAUUAUUGACUUUUGUCUCUGUAGUGUCAUAAAUUUUUAUAGUUUCUGGUCGGUAUAGCAUUAGACCGGGGAACAAAUGAUUUUACACUUGCUCAAAUACCAAAAAUUCAGAUAUGUCUACGUCUUUUUCGGUUUUAGUUGACAAAUUCGGGAUAGAAUUGAAAAUCUUAUGAAUGUUUACAUUAAUGUAAUUUUUUUUCGGAUAAAAUCGUUUUUCAAAAAUACUAUAAAAAACUUUGAUAACGUGUCCUGUAAAGUUUACCAAAAGGACUUUUUGUACCUUUUCGCAUGGACUGGCUCAUAUGUGAAGGAUUUUACUUGAAGGAUGAUCAAGGACUUUUGGAGCAGAUGUAAAAUUUCCUAUAAAAUUCUAAAACUUUGACAGAUAUGAUUGACUGAAAUGGGGUUUUUCAUUUACAUUUCACUGAAAGGAUAACAGUUCUUUAUUUCAAGGUUGUUUUUAUUUUGG